AUACGGAGGGUGCGAGCGUUAAUCGGAAUUACUGGGCGUAAAGGGUGCGUAGGCGGCUUGAUAAGUCGGAUGUGAAAGCCCCGGGCUUAACCUGGGAAUUGCAUUGGAUACUGUCAGGCUAGAGUAUGUCAGAGGUUGGCGGAAUUCCUGGUGUAGCGGUGAAAUGCGUAGAUAACAGGAGGAACACCAGUGGCGAAGGCGGCUAACUGGGACAAUACUGACGCUGAGGCACGAAAGCGUGGGGAGCAAACAGGAUUAGAAACCCUAGUAGUCC
RNAcentral lists this ribosomal RNA (274 nucleotides) under uncultured bacterium. RNAcentral's name for it is "partial 16S ribosomal RNA". It matches the Rfam family "Bacterial small subunit ribosomal RNA", at positions 523 to 796 of the family's 1533-position model. The record is from RNAcentral.